This 486-nucleotide ribosomal RNA is filed under the name uncultured bacterium. RNAcentral describes it as "partial 16S ribosomal RNA". It matches the Rfam family "Bacterial small subunit ribosomal RNA", at positions 30 to 507 of the family's 1533-position model. The record is from RNAcentral.
AUUGAACGCUGGCGGCAUGCCUUACACAUGCAAGUCGAACGGCAGCACGGGUGCUUGCACCUGGUGGCGAGUGGCGAACGGGUGAGUAAUACAUCUGAACAUGUCCUGUAGUGGGGGAUAGCCCGGCGAAAGCCGGAUUAAUACCGCAUACGAUCUACGGAUGAAAGCGGGGGACCUUCGGGCCUCGCGCUAUAGGGUUGGCCGAUGGCUGAUUAGCUAGUUGGUGGGGUAAAGGCCUACCAAGGCGACGAUCAGUAGCUGGUCUGAGAGGACGACCAGCCACACUGGGACUGAGACACGGCCCAGACUCCUACGGGAGGCAGCAGUGGGGAAUUUUGGACAAUGGGCGAAAGCCUGAUCCAGCAAUGCCGCGUGUGUGAAGAAGGCCUUCGGGUUGUAAAGCACUUUUGUCAGGAAAGAAAUCCUUGGCACUAAUACGGUCGGGGGACGACGGUACCGGAAGAAUAAGCACCGGCUAACUACGUG